ACGGGUGAGUAACACGUGGGAACGUACCCUUUUCUACGGAAUAACCCAGGGAAACUUGGACUAAUACCGUAUGUGCCCUUCGGGGGAAAGAUUUAUCGGAAAAGGAUCGGCCCGCGUUGGAUUAGCUAGUUGGUGGGGUAAAGGCCUACCAAGGCGACGAUCCAUAGCUGGUCUGAGAGGAUGAUCAGCCACAUUGGGACUGAGACACGGCCCAAACUCCUACGGGAGGCAGCAGGGGGGAAUAUUGGACAAUGGGCGCAAGCCUGAUCCAGCCAUGCCGCGUGUGUGAUGAAGGCCUUAGGGUUGUAAAGCACUUUCACCGGAGAAGAUAAUGACGGUAUCCGGAGAAGAAGCCCCGGCUAACUUCGUGCCAGCAGCCGCGGUAAUACGAAGGGGGCUAGCGUUGUUCGGAUUUACUGGGCGUAAAGCGCACGUAGGCGGAUCGAUCAGUCAGGGGUGAAAUCCCAGAGCUCAACUCUGGAACUGCCUUUGAUACUGUCGAUCUGGAGUAUGGAAGAGGUGAGUGGAAUUCCGAGUGUAGAGGUGAAAUUCGUAGA
Molecule: ribosomal RNA, 557 nt
Filed under: uncultured bacterium
Lineage: Bacteria
Description: bacterial SSU rRNA
Rfam family: Bacterial small subunit ribosomal RNA
Source: RNAcentral